AACGAACGCUGGCGGCAGGCCUAAUACAUGCAAGUCGAGCGCUCAUAGCAAUAUGGGAGCGGCGGACGGGUGAGUAACACGUGGGAACAUGCCUAUCGGUUCGGAAUAACGCAGGGAAACUUGCGCUAAUACCGGAUGCGCCCGAGAGGGGAAAGAUUUAUCGCCGAUAGAUUGGCCCGCGUAGGAUUAGCUAGUUGGUGAGGUAACGGCCCACCAAGGCGACGAUCCUUAGCUGGUUUGAGAGAACGAUCAGCCACACUGGGACUGAGACACGGCCCAGACUCCUACGGGAGGCAGCAGUAGGGAAUCUUGGACAAUGGGGGAUACCCUGAUCCAGCCAUGCCGCGUGAGUGAUGAAGGCCUUCGGGUUGUAAAACUCUUUCGCGCGCGACGAUAAUGACGGUAGCGCGAGAAGAAGCUCCGGCUAACUUCGUGC
This 436-nucleotide ribosomal RNA is filed under the name uncultured bacterium. RNAcentral describes it as "bacterial SSU rRNA". It matches the Rfam family "Bacterial small subunit ribosomal RNA", at positions 29 to 508 of the family's 1533-position model. The record is from RNAcentral.